UACGAGGGGGGCGAGCGUUGUUCGGAAUUAUUGGGCGUAAAGGGUGCGUAGGCGGCCUGACAAGUCUGAUGUGAAAUCCCUGGGCUCAACCCAGGGCCUGCAUCGGAAACUGUCGGGCUUGAGUAUGGGAGAGGUGAGUGGAAUUUCCGGUGUAGCGGUGAAAUGCGCAGAUAUCGGGAAGAACACCUAUGGCGAAGGCAGCUCUCUGGGACGGUACUGACGCUGAGACGCGAAAGCGUGGGGAGCGAACAGG
This 253-nucleotide ribosomal RNA is filed under the name uncultured bacterium. RNAcentral describes it as "partial 16S ribosomal RNA". It matches the Rfam family "Bacterial small subunit ribosomal RNA", at positions 524 to 776 of the family's 1533-position model. The record is from RNAcentral.